UCGGGAAUUUUGGGCAAUGGGCGAAAGCCUGACCCAGCAACGCCGCGUGAAGGAUGAAGUAUUUCGGUAUGUAAACUUCGAAAGAAUAGGAAGAAUAAAUGACGGUACUAUUUAUAAGGUCCGGCUAACUACGUGCCAGCAGCCGCGGUAAUACGUAGGGACCAAGCGUUGUUCGGAUUUACUGGGCGUAAAGGGCGCGUAGGCGGCAAUUCAAGUCAUCUGUGAAAUCUCCGGGCUUAACUCGGAACGGUCAGAUGAUACUGCUUUGCUAGAGUGCAGAAGGGGCAAUCGGAAUUCUUGGUGUAGCGGUGAAAUGCGUAGAUAUCAAGAGGAACACCUGAGGUGAAGACGGGUUGCUGGGCUGACACUGACGCUGAGGCGCGAAAGCAAGGGGAGCAAACAGGAUUAGAUACCCACGUAGUCCCUGAGCGGGCUGGCAAGGCGCAU
Molecule: ribosomal RNA, 447 nt
Filed under: uncultured bacterium
Lineage: Bacteria
Description: bacterial SSU rRNA
Rfam family: Bacterial small subunit ribosomal RNA
Source: RNAcentral